Molecule: unclassified non-coding RNA, 404 nt
Filed under: Hevea brasiliensis (rubber tree)
Lineage: Eukaryota; Viridiplantae; Streptophyta; Magnoliopsida; Malpighiales; Euphorbiaceae
Source: RNAcentral
GAAAGGCCUUUGAUCAGGACCAUGAUAUGUGCAUAUGGUAAAAGUUCAAGCACUGAUAGAAUCAAAAAGAUUGAAGCACUAUUGAGGCUUAUUCCAGAAAAGGAAUAUAGACCUUGGUUGAAUGUCUUGUUGAUUAGGGUUUAUGCGCAGCAGGAUCUGUUAGAGGGAAUGGAGAACUCUAUAAAUGAGGCAUUCCGGCAAAAGACCACUGUAACAACCACCAGAGUGAUGCGGACCAUUAUUGCAAGCUAUUUUAGAUGCAAUGCAGUUGACAGACUUGCAGCCUUUGUAAAACACUCUGAAUAUGCAGGAUGGAAAAUCUGCCGCUCUCUAUAUCAUUGUAAAAUGGUUAUGUAUGCAUCACAAAAGCGCUUGGAUGAGAUGGAAAGUGUCCUUGAUGAGAU